Molecule: long non-coding RNA, 1576 nt
Organism: Sarcophilus harrisii (Tasmanian devil)
Lineage: Eukaryota; Metazoa; Chordata; Mammalia; Dasyuromorphia; Dasyuridae
Exons: 3
Source: RefSeq, a predicted model, not a curated record
GAUUUCUGCAACAAUCAAGGACUUUCAUUCUUCCUUUUCUAGCUGUUUAUUGGGUUGGCCAUGGGCCUCCUGGGGCUGCCCACCAAUGAAAAGUUUUAGAUUGCCUCUGGUCUCAUUACCAUUGUGUCUCUCACAUUAUUCCAUAUAGUUCUCAACUCAAUUCUGCUGGGCUGGAUUCUCUGGGGAACAUCUGUUUGUGCAAGUCAGCUUUCAUUAAGCACAAUGGGUGCAAGGCUCUGGAUGGAAUUAUGCAUCCCUUCAGAUCUGAAUGACUAAGAAUUGUUACAAAUAUCAGUGUAAUGAAGAUGGAAUUCAGUGCUGCAAAGUAUAUAUCCUAUUCAAAGGACUUCUCACUUCUCUUCUUAUAUGUAUUUGUUCUGCUUCUUGCCACUGUGUAAAACCCUCCUUCUCCUUCUGCCAAACUUGUGGGAAGGAAGGAAAGAAGGAAAAGCUCCCCAGCUUUGCAGUUGACCCCACCUAGAAAGCCUACAAAACUCAAGAAAGGAAAAAAGCCAAAAGGUAAGGGAAGCUAUCUGAUCAAGUCAGAAAGCAACCUCAAACCUGGUUGGUCUCCAGACUUUGGAGAGAAAUUUCAAGGGUGAGAAGAAAGAACCACGGGGGCAGAAGGAGCUCUUCUCUGUACCUGGGUUCACCCUAUUACUAAGGAACAGGCAACAGCAAAGAGGAAUUGGAAGGUUACAUAGACAAUAGGUUCUCUGAUGAGCCAGUUGCACUCAGAGCCAGAGAGCAGGAUUAGAAGUCCCAGGAAGAGACAAAACCUGGAUCAAGGACAAGCAGCCAAAGGAAACACCAUUGUCCUGGAGAAUUUUCCCAGUGAAUAGCACCCCUCCCAGGAGGCCAUGCAUAAAACAACACUGGGAAUAUUGUAUCUACUCUACAGGGCUGCUGGGAGAAUCAAAGGAGGGAUGAAAAAUCAGGUGCUUAUAACUCUUAAGCAAUGUAUAAAUACAAAAGAAUAUAUUAAUGAUAAUGUUGUUACUAACAAAAAUAAACUCUGAAGGGAUAUGUAAAUAUGUUAUUUCCCAUGUCCAGAUGUCACUGUCUGAGCUGAGAGUUGCUACAUCCUCUCAUUAAAGAUUAAAUAGAGGGAGGGGUUUAUUUCAGGAAAGCCUCAGAAUCCCAACAUCUCAUCAUUGGAAAAAAUCUCAGAAGGAAUCUAAUCCAACUGGUAAGUGAGUAAGAACAAUUCAAGUGCCUCAUAGACAUCCCAGAGUCAAUACGUCCAAGACAGAACCUAUUAUUUUUUCCCUUAGACUCACUCCACUGCACUUUUUUAUUUCUGUAGAUUUACCUUAUUCUCAUCACCCAGUUUUCCAUCCUUAGAGUCAUCCUUGAAUUUUUCCCCUUUUCUUAUUCUCCAUGUUUAGUCAGUUGCAAAGUCUUAUACAUUUUAUCCUUACAUCAUCCAUACAGCUAGCUUCUCAAGCAAGAGAGGAUUUGUUGUUGUUCAGUCAUUUUCAACUAUAUCUGACUCUUCAUGAUGCUAUUUGAUAUCUUCUUGGAGUGGCUUUCCGUUUCCUUCUCCAGCUCAUUUUACAGAUGAGGAAACUGAGGC